UCCUGCUUGCCAUCUCUUUAUCUCUCUCUUUCCUCUCUCUCUCAAUUAUGGUGGGAUGUUUAUGGGGACUAUAUUGUUAUGGAGGUUGUUACAGGACUGGUCACCGAGGCAUUUUUCAGAUUGGAUCUUGAUGUGGGCGGUGGUGGUUCUAGUUGCUGGUGGCGGCGGCGGUGGUUCUGGUUGCUAGUGGCGGCGCUCAGGGUAAUGACAACUGGGUGGGGGGUUGUGGCAUCUUUAGCGGCGUGGUGAUGUUGGCGUCGCAUAUCUAGGGUUUGGUGGAGGAGAUCUACGGUUUGGUUGGGCGAAUCUAAGAUUUUUUGAUUUCAUGUCUAUAGAUGUCUAUGAGUAUCUAUGGGUGUCUAUGGUGUCUGGCGGCUAAGGUUCAAAGGACGAAUUAGGCUUUGAAGAAUACGUGACUACGGAUUACUACAAUUUUCUACAAGUGUCUAUACAUGACUACGGACUACUACGGUUUCCUACGGAUUUCUAUAGAAGACUACGGCCGAAAAAUAUUAAAAAAUCAUAAUUUUCAAUAUUAUGUAGAAAAAAAAGGAAAAAAUACGAAAAUG
Molecule: long non-coding RNA, 569 nt
Filed under: Erythranthe guttata (spotted monkey flower)
Lineage: Eukaryota; Viridiplantae; Streptophyta; Magnoliopsida; Lamiales; Phrymaceae
Description: long non-coding RNA (EGUT_LNC000651)
Source: RNAcentral